RNAcentral lists this ribosomal RNA (468 nucleotides) under uncultured bacterium. Its description in RNAcentral is "partial 16S ribosomal RNA". It matches the Rfam family "Bacterial small subunit ribosomal RNA", at positions 28 to 507 of the family's 1533-position model. The record is from RNAcentral.
GACGAACGCUGGCGGCGUGCUUAACACAUGCAAGUCGAACGGAAAGGCCCUGCUUUUGUGGGGUGCUCGAGUGGCGAACGGGUGAGUAACCCGUGAGUAACCUGCCCUUUACUUUGUGAUAACUUCAGGAAACUGGGGCUAAUACCGGAUAGGAGCUCCUGCUGCAUGGUGGGGGUUGGAAAGUUUCGGCGGUUGGGGAUGGACUCGCGGCUUAUCAUCUUUUUGGUGGGGUAGUUGCUUACCAAGGCUUUGACGGGUAGCCGGCCUGAGAGGGUGACCGGCAACAUUGGGACUGAGAUACGGACCAGAAUCCUACGGGAGGCAGCAGGGGGGAAUAUUGCACAAUGGGCGGAAGCCUGAUGCAGAAACGCAGCGUGCGGGAUGACGGCCUUCGGGUUGUAAACCGCUUUCGCCUGUGACGAAGCGUGAGUGACGGUAAUGGGUAAAGAAGCACCGGCUAACUACGUG